RNAcentral lists this ribosomal RNA (533 nucleotides) under uncultured bacterium. RNAcentral's name for it is "bacterial SSU rRNA". It matches the Rfam family "Bacterial small subunit ribosomal RNA", at positions 777 to 1308 of the family's 1533-position model. The record is from RNAcentral.
AAUAGAUACCCAGGUAGUCCACGCCGUAAACGAUGAAUGCUAGGUGUUAGGGGUUUCGAUACCCUUGGUGCCGAAGUUAACACAUUAAGCAUUCCGCCUGGGGAGUACGGUCGCAAGACUGAAACUCAAAGGAAUUGACGGGGACCCGCACAAGCAGUGGAGUAUGUGGUUUAAUUCGAAGCAACGCGAAGAACCUUACCAGGUCUUGACAUCCCUCUGACCGGUCUAGAGAUAGGCCUUUCCUUCGGGACAGAGGAGACAGGUGGUGCAUGGUUGUCGUCAGCUCGUGUCGUGAGAUGUUGGGUUAAGUCCCGCAACGAGCGCAACCCUUGAUCUUAGUUGCCAGCACUUUGGGUGGGCACUCUAGGAUGACUGCCGGUGACAAACCGGAGGAAGGUGGGGAUGACGUCAAAUCAUCAUGCCCCUUAUGACCUGGGCUACACACGUACUACAAUGGCCGAUACAACGGGAAGCGAAGUCGCGAGGCGGAGCCAAUCCUAUCAAAGUCGGUCUCAGUUCGGAUUGCAGGCUGC